GACGGAGGAUGCAAGCGUUGUUCGGAAUUACUGGGCGUAAAGGGCGCGUAGGCGGUCUGUUAAGUUCGGUGUGAAAGCCCCCGGCUCACCUGGGGAACUGCGCCGGAAACCGACAGACUCGAGUACCGGAGAGGAGGGUGGAAUUCCUGGUGUAGCGGUGAAAUGCGUAGAUAUCGGGAGGAACACCAGUGGCGAAGGCGACUUCCUGGCCUGUUCUUGACGCUGAGGCGCGAAAGCUAGGGGAGCAAACGGG
This 253-nucleotide ribosomal RNA is filed under the name uncultured bacterium. RNAcentral describes it as "partial 16S ribosomal RNA". It matches the Rfam family "Bacterial small subunit ribosomal RNA", at positions 524 to 776 of the family's 1533-position model. The record is from RNAcentral.